GAUGAACGCUGGCGGCGUGCCUAAUACAUGCAAGUCGAACGAAACUUCUUUAUCACCGAGUGCUUGCACUCACCGAUAAAGAGUUGAGUGGCGAACGGGUGAGUAGCACGUGGGCAACCUGCCCAAAAGAGGGGGAUAACACUUGGAAACAGGUGCUAAUACCGCAUAACCAUAGUUACCGCAUGGUAACUAUGUAAAAGGUGGCUAUACUACCGCUUUUGGAUGGGCCCGCGGCGCAUUAGCUAGUUGGUAGGGUAAAGGCUUACCAAGGCAAUGAUGCGUAGCCGAAUUGAGAGGUUGAUCGGCCACAUUGGGACUGAGACACGGCCCAAACUCCUACGGGAGGCAGCAGUAGGGAAUCUUCCACAAUGGGCGAAAGCCUGAUGGAGCAACGCCGCGUGGGUGAAGAAGGUCUUCGGAUCGUAAAACCCUGUUGUUAGAGAAGAAAGUGCGUGAGAGUAACUGUUCACGUUUCGACGGUAUCUAACCAGAAAGCCACGGCUAACUACGUG
RNAcentral lists this ribosomal RNA (512 nucleotides) under uncultured bacterium. Its description in RNAcentral is "partial 16S ribosomal RNA". It matches the Rfam family "Bacterial small subunit ribosomal RNA", at positions 28 to 507 of the family's 1533-position model. The record is from RNAcentral.